UAGAGUAGAAUUCAUGCGUUAGAGUGUCUAAAGAUGGGACGUUGCUUUAGAACGAAUGUUUAUUACUGCGGUAUGAAUUUCUCGUCCGCUG
RNAcentral lists this non-coding RNA (91 nucleotides) under marine eukaryotic metagenome. RNAcentral describes it as "THF riboswitch". It matches the Rfam family "THF (Tetrahydrofolate) riboswitch aptamer". Rfam says of the family: THF riboswitch presents a pseudoknot that joins P1-P2 and the loop of P3 and two THF binding. The record is from RNAcentral.